This 438-nucleotide long non-coding RNA is filed under the name Oryza sativa Indica Group (long-grained rice). RNAcentral's name for it is "lncRNA OsKYG_07g0002510". The record is from RNAcentral. Lineage: Eukaryota; Viridiplantae; Streptophyta; Magnoliopsida; Poales; Poaceae. RNAcentral also lists the same sequence under 1 other name.
GACAAUAUAAAACAGAAAACGGAAAAAGAAACCAAACGCCACGGUGACCAGCAGGCACUUCCACCUGCCGAUAUCCAUCCCAGCCUGCUGCGCCAGCACGUCGGCGCGGUCACCACGCAGGUGUCCGCCGUCAAAGUGGUGCCGAGCGUACGCCUGAUUGGCGUCCAUCACCGACAUCUUCACGGCCUUCGACAACCCGACGAUCGGCGUGCCGUCGAACAUCUCGACGCCACGGGAGAAGCAGCACCGCCACCGGAGAGACCGACGGCGAAGAACGUGGUCGCCGCGAACGCCAGCGACAGGGACACCAGCGGCGGGAACGCGACGGCGGUGUUGGCGAUCACGAGAGGCGGCGGUAGGCGUUGUGGGCUGUCUCGAUCCCGGAUGUGGAUGUGGCGCUCCUGGACGAACACCGGCAGCGCGUCGGCGCAGACGUAG